GAUGAACGCUGGCGGCGUGCCUAAUACAUGCAAGUCGAGCGAACAGACGAGGAGCUUGCUCCUCUGACGUUAGCGGCGGACGGGUGAGUAGCACGUGGAUAACCUACCUAUAAGACUGGGAUAACUUCGGGAAACCGGAGCUAAUACCGGAUAACAUGUUGAACCGCAUGGUUCAACAGUGAAAGACGGUCUUGCUGUCACUUAUAGAUGGAUCCGCGCCGCAUUAGCUAGUUGGUAAGGUAACGGCUUACCAAGGCAACGAUGCGUAGCCGACCUGAGAGGGUGAUCGGCCACACUGGAACUGAGACACGGUCCAGACUCCUACGGGAGGCAGCAGUAGGGAAUCUUCCGCAAUGGGCGAAAGCCUGACGGAGCAACGCCGCGUGAGUGAUGAAGGUCUUCGGGUCGUAAAACUCUGUUAUUAGGGAAGAACAAAUGUGUAAGUAACUAUGCACGUCUUGACGGUACCUAAUCAGAAAGCCACGGCUAACUACGUG
Molecule: ribosomal RNA, 497 nt
Filed under: uncultured bacterium
Lineage: Bacteria
Description: partial 16S ribosomal RNA
Rfam family: Bacterial small subunit ribosomal RNA
Source: RNAcentral